UUUCCGUAGGUGAACCUGCGGAAGGAUCAUUAUUGUAUAACCGAGGUGCGAGGGCUGUCGCUGACCCGACAGGUCGUGCACGCCCGAGUGCCCUCACACGCAUCCAUCUCACCCCUAUGUGCACCACCGCGUGGGUCCCCCUUUGGCGUGUUCGGAGGGGGGCUUACGUUUUCACACAAACUUUGUAUGCAGUGUAGAAUGUAUUUUUUGUUUUUGCGAUCACGCAAUCAAUACAACUUUCAACAACGGAUCUCUUGGCUCUC
This 263-nucleotide unclassified non-coding RNA is filed under the name plant metagenome. RNAcentral's name for it is "partial contains small subunit ribosomal RNA, internal transcribed spacer 1, and 5.8S ribosomal RNA". The record is from RNAcentral.